GACGAACCGUGCGAACGUUGUUCGGAAUCACUGGGCUUAAAGGGCGCGUAGGCGGGCCUUCAAGUCCGGGGUGAAAGCCUCCAGCCUAACUGGAGAAGAGCCUCGGAGACUGAGGGCCUCGAGGGAGGUAGGGGCAAGCGGAACUAUGGGUGGAGCGGUGAAAUGCAUUGAUAUCCAUAGGAACUCCGGUGGCGAAGGCGGCUUGCUGGACCUCUUCUGACGCUGAGGCGCGAAAGCCAGGGGAGCAAACGGGG
This 254-nucleotide ribosomal RNA is filed under the name uncultured bacterium. RNAcentral describes it as "partial 16S ribosomal RNA". It matches the Rfam family "Bacterial small subunit ribosomal RNA", at positions 524 to 777 of the family's 1533-position model. The record is from RNAcentral.